This 477-nucleotide ribosomal RNA is filed under the name Triticum aestivum (bread wheat). RNAcentral's name for it is "partial small subunit ribosomal RNA". Lineage: Eukaryota; Viridiplantae; Streptophyta; Magnoliopsida; Poales; Poaceae. The record is from RNAcentral.
AUGCUGCAGCACUUGGACCUGCAAGAUGAUGAGCUUGAUGAUGUGGUUGUAGGGGAGGAGGAGGUAAAGAAGUUUGCAGCGGACGCUAGGUGGCUAGCGAUUGCGAAGGUGAACACGACCCGUACUUUCAGUUCGUCCUCAAUGUUUGAGUGCAUGAAGUCAAUCUGGUCGCUAGCACACGUCCCCAAGUAUAGGGAGGCGGGCGAAAACCUGUUUAUCUUCCAGAUGUUCUGCCUUGGCGACUGGAAGAAGGGGGUGCAUGGUGGUCCAUGGCUAUUCAGGGGGAUGGGGAUGCUGAUUGAGGACUAUGAUGGUAAGAAGGAAUCCACAUCCUUUGACUUUGAGGGACUGUAUGUAUGGGCUUAGAUUCACAACAUACCAGAACUAUAUCGCAAGGCAGAGGUGGUUGAUCAAUUAGCCCGUCGCAUCGGGCGGGUGAAGGAAAUCCAGCUCGCUCCUCGACUGUUUUAUGAAGGG